This 1581-nucleotide small RNA is filed under the name Pongo abelii (Sumatran orangutan). RNAcentral describes it as "retained intron". The record is from RNAcentral. Lineage: Eukaryota; Metazoa; Chordata; Mammalia; Primates; Hominidae.
UGGAGGUUGCAGUGAGCCAAGAUCGUGCAUCGCACUCCAGCCCGGGCGAUAGAGUGAGACUCUCAAUCAUUAUCAAUCAAUCAGUAAAGCUGAUGAAAAUAAAAAAGCCUGCAAAUUAAUAUUAAUAUGGGCACCCAGGUCUCCUUAAAUUUAGAAUCCUUUCCUCAAAAGUCCCCCUGUUGAUACAGAAACACUUCUGAAGCCAAAUGUGAAGCACCAGUUGACCCGCAGGUGGGGGUGCCGACUGGUAGGCUGUAGGGUUAGCUCUGGCCUCUGGCAGCCAGUUGUCUCCUGAGAAAAUACUGUGGCGUGAAUGCAAAAUGUGAUUCAUCACUUGGCUCCUAAUUUCUUUUGAUUUUGUCCCCUAGAGCAAGGUCCGUGGUCCUGUCAGUGGAAGCCCGGAUAGCAUGAAUGCCUCUCGACUUAGCCAGCCUGGGCAGCUGAUGUCUCAGCCCUCCACGGCCUCCAACAGCUUACCUGAGCCAGCCAAGAAGAGUGAAGAACUGGUGGCUGAAGCACAUAACCUCUGCACCCUGCUAGAAAAUGCCAUACAGGACACCGUGAGGGAACAACACCAGAGUUUCACGGCCCUAGACUGGAGCUGGUUACAGACGGAAGAAGAAGAGCACAGCUGCCUGGAGCAGGCCUCAUGAUGUGGGGGGACUCGACCCCCUGACAUGGGGCAGCCCAUAGCAGGCCUUGUGCGGUGGGGGGACUCGACCCCCUGACAUGGGGCUGCCUGGAGCAGGCCGCGUGAUGCGGGGCUGCCUGGCCGCGGCUCUCACAUGGCGGUUCCUGCCGCACUGAUGGCCCAGUGGUCUCUGGUAUCCAGAUGGAGCUCUCGCUUCCUCAGCAGCUGUGACUUUCACCCAGGACCCAGGGCGCAGCCCUCUGUGGGCACUGCCGGCGCCUUGUCUGCACACUGGAGGUCCUCCAUUACAGAGGCCCAGCGCACAAUGCCGGCCCCACGAGUGUUCAGGGGUACAGCCACGGCAGCCCCUUCCUCUGCCAUGAGAAAAGUGCUUGGAGUACGGUUUGCCACACACGUGACUGGACAGUGUCCAAUUCAAAUCUUUCAGGGCAGAGUCCGAGCAGCGCUUGGUGCCAGUCCUCUCCUGCUCUCCAACGGCCCUGCUCCCUGUCCUCUCUCACUUUACAGCUUGUGUUUCUUCUGGAUUCAGCUUCUCCUAAACAGACAGUUUAAUUACAGUUGCGGCCUGGCCCCAUCCUCACUUCCUCUUUUUAUUUCACUGCUGCUAAAAUUGUGUUUUUACCUACUACUUUGGUGGUUGUCCUCUUUUCGGCAAAGUUGGAGUGAGUGCCAAGCUCUCCAUCUGUGGUGCUUUCUGCCACAGAGCGACUCACAGUAGCCAGGAUGGGAGAGCAGCUGCCUUAUUCCGAGUCCCAAAAAUUGUUUGGGGAUGAUUGUCACAGAGGAGGGACAGAAAGGGUAUCUGCUGACCACCGGCCUGCCUACCACCAUGCCCACGUGCCCAUUCCUGCUCAAGCAUGUGUGCUGGCCGGGGAGUCCCUGUCUCUCACAGCAUCUAGCAGUAUUAUUAAAUGCAUUCAUUUUAAAAA